Long non-coding RNA from Bos indicus x Bos taurus (hybrid cattle), 277 nucleotides. Lineage: Eukaryota; Metazoa; Chordata; Mammalia; Artiodactyla; Bovidae. The record is from Ensembl.
GGAAUCAAACCCUCAUCUCCUGCAUUGGCAGGGGGAUUCUUUAGCAGUGUACCACAUGGGAAGCUCAUCUUUAAUGGUGUAUAAUCUGGAUCAACCUGGAGGGGCGAACCACAUUUGUGUCAUUAUAGCACAGCAUUGGACUAGGAACAGGAGAGAAAACAGGCAGAUCCUAUCUGGGAAGGAACUCCUAGGUGUAUAAUCUGGGUCAACCUGGAGGGGCGAACUGCAUUUGUGUCAUUACAGCACAGCAUUGGACUAUGAACAGAAAGAAAAAAGC